Molecule: long non-coding RNA, 1027 nt
Organism: Homo sapiens (human)
Lineage: Eukaryota; Metazoa; Chordata; Mammalia; Primates; Hominidae
Gene: SLMO2-ATP5E
Product: SLMO2-ATP5E readthrough
Exons: 8
Source: RefSeq, marked validated
AGCGCCUGCGCACUGCGCCGCCGGCUGGGGUGCUGGGGGCGGGGCAGGGGCAGGUGUAGCCUCUGUGCCUCGUUGUCCCCUGGCGCUACCCGGACAUCUCUCAGGGUGCCGGCACCAUGAAGAUCUGGACUUCGGAGCACGUCUUUGACCACCCGUGGGAAACUGUUACAACAGCUGCAAUGCAGAAAUACCCAAACCCUAUGAACCCAAGUGUGGUUGGAGUUGAUGUGUUGGACAGACAUAUAGAUCCCUCUGGAAAGUUGCACAGCCACAGACUUCUCAGCACAGAGUGGGGACUGCCUUCCAUUGUGAAGUCUCUUAUUGGUGCAGCAAGAACGAAAACAUAUGUGCAAGAACAUUCUGUAGUUGAUCCUGUAGAGAAAACAAUGGAACUUAAAUCUACUAAUAUUUCAUUUACAAACAUGGUUUCAGUAGAUGAGAGACUUAUAUACAAACCACAUCCUCAGGAUCCAGAAAAAACUGUUUUGACACAAGAAGCCAUAAUUACCGUGAAAGGAGUUAGCCUCAGCAGUUACCUUGAAGGACUGAUGGCAAGUACGAUAUCCUCAAAUGCUAGUAAAGGCCGAGAAGCAAUGGAAUGGGUAAUACAUAAAUUAAAUGCUGAGAUUGAAGAACUGACAGCCUCAGCAAGAGGAACCAUAAGGACUCCAAUGGCAGCAGCAGCGUUUGCAGAGAAGUGAUCGUGACAGUUGGUAGACAACAUCGGGUACUCCAGCUACAUCCGAUACUCCCAGAUCUGUGCAAAAGCAGUGAGAGAUGCACUGAAGACAGAAUUCAAAGCAAAUGCUGAGAAGACUUCUGGCAGCAACGUAAAAAUUGUGAAAGUAAAGAAGGAAUAAUCUACCCUGACUAAAGCUUGAAAUGCUACAUUUCCAAGGUGAAGAUGUGUGGGCACAUGUUAUGGCAGAUUGAAAAGGAUCUCAUUCCAUGGGAAAAAAAAAAAUCCUGUCUUGUUCAUAAAUUGACAAUGUCAAUAAAUUGAAAUAUGGUUCACUGUUACUCUUGA